Molecule: ribosomal RNA, 446 nt
Filed under: uncultured bacterium
Lineage: Bacteria
Description: SSU rRNA
Rfam family: Bacterial small subunit ribosomal RNA
Source: RNAcentral
AGAGCGAACGCUGGCGGCAGGCUUAACACAUGCAAGUCGAGCGGGCGUAGCAAUACGUCAGCGGCAGACGGGUGAGUAACGCGUGGGAACGUACCUUUUGGUUCGGAACAACCCAGGGAAACUUGGGCUAAUACCGGAUAAGCCCUUACGGGGAAAGAUUUAUCGCCGAAAGAUCGGCCCGCGUCUGAUUAGCUAGUUGGUGAGGUAAUGGCUCACCAAGGCGACGAUCAGUAGCUGGUCUGAGAGGAUGAUCAGCCACAUUGGGACUGAGACACGGCCCAAACUCCUACGGGAGGCAGCAGUGGGAAUAUGGACAAUGGGCGCAAGCCUGAUCCAGCCAUGCCGCGUGAGUGAUGAAGGCCCUAGGGUUGUAAAGCUCUUUUGUGCGGGAAGAUAAUGACGGUACCGCAAGAAUAAGCCCCGGCUAACUUCGUGCCAGCAGCCGC